GAGUUUGAUCCUGGCUCAGGAUGAACGCCGGCGGUGUGCCUAAUACAUGCAAGUCGUACGCACUGGCCCAACUGAUUGAUGGUGCUUGCACCUGAUCGACGAUGGAUCACCAGUGAGUGGCGGACGGGUGAGUAACACGUAGGUAACCUGCCCUGUACAGGGGAUAACAAUCAGAAAUGACUGCUAAUACCGCAUAAGACCACAGCACCGCAUGGUGCAGGGGUAAAAACUCCGGUGGUACAGGAUGGACCCGCGUCUGAUUAGCUGGUUGGUGAGGUAACGGCUCACCAAGGCGACGAUCAGUAGCCGGCUUGAGAGAGUGAACGGCCACAUUGGGACUGAGACACGGCCCAAACUCCUACGGGAGGCAGCAGUGGGGAAUAUUGCACAAUGGGGAAACCCUGAUGCAGCAACGCCGCGUGAGUGAAGAGUAUUUCGGUAUGUAAAGCUCUAUCAGCAGGGAAGAAAGUGACGGUACCUGACUAAGAAGCCCGGCUAA
This 499-nucleotide ribosomal RNA is filed under the name uncultured microorganism. RNAcentral describes it as "bacterial SSU rRNA". It matches the Rfam family "Bacterial small subunit ribosomal RNA", at positions 9 to 500 of the family's 1533-position model. The record is from RNAcentral.